This 468-nucleotide ribosomal RNA is filed under the name uncultured bacterium. Its description in RNAcentral is "partial 16S ribosomal RNA". It matches the Rfam family "Bacterial small subunit ribosomal RNA", at positions 28 to 507 of the family's 1533-position model. The record is from RNAcentral.
GACGAACGCUGGCGGCGUGCUUAACACAUGCGAGUCGAACGGAAAGGCCCUGCUUUUGUGGGGUGCUCGAGUGGCGAACGGGUGAGUAACACGUGAGUAACCUGCCCUUGACUUUGGGAUAACUUCAGGAAACUGGGGCUAAUACCGGAUAGGAGCUCCUGCUGCAUGGUGGGGGUUGGAAAGUUUCGGCGGUUGGGGAUGGACUCGCGGCUUAUCAGCUUGUUGGAGGGGUAGUGGCUUACCAAGGCUUUGACGGGUAGCCGGCCUGAGAGGGUGACCGGCCACAUUGGGACUGAGAUACGGCCCAGACUCCUACGGGAGGCAGCAGUGGGGAAUAUUGCACAAUGGGCGGAAGCCUGAUGCAGCAACGCCGCGUGCGGGAUGACGGCCUUCGGGUUGUAAACCGCUUUCGCCUGUGACGAAGCGUGAGUGACGGUAAUGGGUAAAGAAGCACCGGCUAACUACGUG